This 471-nucleotide ribosomal RNA is filed under the name uncultured marine eukaryote. RNAcentral describes it as "SSU rRNA". It matches the Rfam family "Eukaryotic small subunit ribosomal RNA", at positions 617 to 1093 of the family's 1831-position model. The record is from RNAcentral.
GGUUAAAAAGCUCGUAGUUGGAUUUCUGCCUGAGGCAGCCGGUCCGCACUUAGUGCGUGUAUCUGGUUUGGUUUGGGCAUCCUCUUGGGGAUCGUUGCUGUGCUUAGUUGCAUGGUGCGGAAUUCAAGACGUUUACUUUGAGGAAAUUAGAGUGGUUACGGCAAGCUAUCGCUUUGAAUACAUUAGCAUGGAAUAAUAGUAUAGGACGUAAGUUCUAUCUUGUUGGUUUCUAGAACAUACGCAAUGAUUAAUAGGGACAAUUGGGGGCAUUCGUAUUAACGCGUCAGAGGUGGAAUUCUUAGAUUGCGUUACGACGAACUACUGCGAAAGCAUUUGCCAAGGAUGUUUUCAUUGAUCAAGAACGAAAGUAUGGGGAUCGAAGACGAUUAGAUACCGUCGUAGUCUAUACCAUAAACUAUGCCAAUUAGAGAUUGGAGGUCGUUAUUUUAUGACUCCUCCAGCACCUUAUGA